UGAGGAAUUUUGCGCAAUGGGGGAAACCCUGAUGCAGCAACGCCGCGUGAAGGAUGACGGUUUUCGGAUUGUAAGCUUCUUUUCUUAGUGACGAAGACAGUGACGGUAGCUAAGGAAUAAGCAUCGGCUAACUACGUGCCAGCAGCCGCGGUAAUACGUAGGAUGCAAGCGUUAUCCGGAUUUACUGGGUGUAAAGGGAGCGCAGGCGGGACUGCAAGUUGGAUGUGAAAUACCGUGGCUUAACCACGGGACUGCAUCCAAAACUGUAGUUCUUGAGUGAAGUAGAGGCAAGCGGAAUUCCGAGUGUAGCGGUGAAAUGCGUAGAUAUUCGGAGGAACACCAGCGGCGAAGGCGGCUUGCUGGGCGUUAACUGACGCUGAGGCUCGAAAGUGUGGGGAGCAAACA
This 405-nucleotide ribosomal RNA is filed under the name uncultured prokaryote. Its description in RNAcentral is "bacterial SSU rRNA". It matches the Rfam family "Bacterial small subunit ribosomal RNA", at positions 355 to 774 of the family's 1533-position model. The record is from RNAcentral.